Molecule: long non-coding RNA, 257 nt
Filed under: Daucus carota (carrot)
Lineage: Eukaryota; Viridiplantae; Streptophyta; Magnoliopsida; Apiales; Apiaceae
Description: long non-coding RNA (DCAR_LNC007471)
Source: RNAcentral
UUCUCGAACGAUUUCCUGCAAUUCCUCCCAGUAUGGAAUGAGUAAAGAAUCAAGCUACAAGUCUCGAUCUAUACGAAACGCACUUGUUUUUUUGAUUUCGGUUUCAUUGAUAGCAGAAUAUCCUGACUCUAUAGGGGCGCUAGCGCUUGACUAAUAGAAUCUCAAAGGGGCCUGAAUGAAACUUAACUUAAUAGGCUGCUACUCUAGGCUCGCUUCUUCAAGCUCCGCCCCUUAUUGAAAACGGCCUAGCUAACGAG